Molecule: non-coding RNA, 4186 nt
Organism: Oryzias latipes (Japanese medaka)
Lineage: Eukaryota; Metazoa; Chordata; Actinopteri; Beloniformes; Adrianichthyidae
Source: RefSeq, a predicted model, not a curated record
AUUUUUGACCUUUUAUUUUAUUUUGUAAUUGGGUCUUUUCCCUCCCAGUCCCAUCAGCCCCGUUGAUGCCGCUGUACAGGUGGGUCUUCAGUCGCGCAGGUGAACAUCCGGGUCAUCUGCUCGGCGCGCGGUGCUUCUGGACGCGCGCGGGUCUUCCUCACGUUUCAUCCGCGAGGAGAAAACUAGAAACUUUACAGCCCAGCUCUACCGUAAGCACCGCUGCGGCUCGUUGCCGCGGCCGGAGCGCGCGCGCGCACGCUGGGAAGGGGUGGCACAGACCAAUCAUCUGCACGCGGAGGCAGGGGGUGGGGGUGCUGCUGCUGCUCCUGCUCCUGCUGCUGCUCCCGCCAUAAGGAGUUAGUUUGCAGAGAGACCCAGCAGACGCGAUGCUGCAGAAGAAGCUCCGUCACAAGCUUUCUGCAGAUUAGGUGGAGUCUGGAGGUCUCCUGCUGUGAUUGGCUGAAGUCGGAGGUUCUCCAGCAGAACGCUCCUGUUUGUUUACACCAACUUCCUCCAGCGGCUGAUUUCUCUGAGGCAGGUGAGGAACAUGUGGACUCCUCUGUGAGGACCAGAAGAUGAACGAGUCCUCCUGCUGCCAUCCUCCUGCCGUCACGUAUCAGCAGAGUUCCCGAUGGGACCUCAACGCCAGCUGCGACUGGUCGGCCCCUCGCUGUAACUGGACGUCGGGGGACGGGCCCCUGCAGCUGCCCACCUUCUCCACGGCGGCGAAGGUCCGGGUGAUCAUCACCUUCAUCCUGUGCGGCGUGUCCACCCUCUGCAACUCCGCCGUGCUCUGGGCGGCCAUCGGCCACAAGCGCAAGUCUCACGUCCGGGUGUUGAUCAUCAACCUGACGGCGGCGGAUCUGUUGGUCACCUUCAUCGUGAUGCCGGUGGACGCCGCGUGGAACAUCACGGUACAGUGGUUGGCGGGCGACGCGGCCUGCAGGUUCCUCAUGUUCCUCAAGCUGCAGGCCAUGUACUCCUGCGCUUUCGUGACGGUGGUGAUCAGCCUGGACAGACAGUCGGCCAUCCUCCGCCCUCUGUCCAUCAGCGCGGCCCCGCGGAGGAACAGGAGCAUGCUGACGGUGGCGUGGACCAUGAGCGCCGUGCUCUCCGUCCCUCAGAUGUUCAUUUUCCAUAAUGUCACCAUCACCCACCCAGCAAACUUCACCCAGUGCACCACUAGAGGGAGCUUCGUGACCCACUGGCAGGAAACGGCCUACAACAUGUUCACCUUCACCUGCCUCUUCCUGCUGCCGCUCAGCAUCAUGAUCAUCUGCUACACCCGGAUCUUUAUUCAGAUCUCCAAGCAGAUGACCAAAAAAAACGUUUCCUCCGACGAGCCGCAUCUGCGCUGCUCAAAGAACAACAUCCCCAAAGCCCGGAUGAGAACUCUGAAGAUGAGCGUUGUCAUCGUCGUCGGCUUCAUCGUGUGCUGGACUCCAUACUACCUGCUGGGUCUGUGGUACUGGUUCUUCCCCGACGACCUGGAAGGGAAGGUGUCCCACUCGCUCACUCACAUCCUCUUCAUCUUCGGGCUUUUCAACACCUGCCUGGACCCCAUCAUCUACGGCCUCUUCACCACUCGCUUCCACAGGGGACGGAGGAAGUGCUACAGCGGGGCGACCGCCACCCUCAGCCUGGAAAGCAAGGUGGUGACGGCCGAGGCUGUGAAGCGUAGCUCAGACGCUUCAGCCUCCAGAGGAGACGCAGGUGAAAAGGACAACAACUCCGCACGGACUGAGCGCCAAUCCAGCGGUGGAAACAUCUGACUGUAGUCUGGAGGAGGGCCUCCUUUUUCUACUUUGUGUCAAAACCAGCAUGCAUGUAGAAAACAUCUCACUUACCCGUCUGAUGCUAUGUUCACACCGGGCAAGUGAUGCUCCUUCAAGUACACACUGAACUCGGGUUCUUCAACACGCUUUUAGCCUACGGGGUCCACACUAGGCUGAGAUGAACUGCAGAUACAGCUGCGCUCGGUAAUCAUUUGGUGGUUUAAACCCCCCAAUCCAACCCCUCACUGCUUAGUGUCAAGCAGGGAGGCGCUGGGUCCCAUUUGGUACGACUCGAUGGUGGAUUUGAACUCACAACCUGCCAGUCUCAGGGCAGACACUCUACCGCAAGGCCACUCAGCGGGUUCAAGUCUUGCGAAACAUACUCCAGAUUAAUCAUUUACACUUCUAUUACGAUAUUUGAAAGACUUGGUGUCGUACAAUUCCUGCAAUAAGAACUGCUGAGAAUGGUUGAAAUGGACGCCACUCAUAUAUCACCACCAAAUUUAAGUCCCUGAUUGGUCGAAGUUAAACUGGUUUCGUUAUACUUUUCCUUCUGAAUUUCCCUCCGGGGAUCAAUAAAGUACUGUCUUAUCAUAUCAUAUCUUAUCCCGACUUUCAGUGGCUGUGCGUUUUUCACAUAGAGCCUGGAAACAGACUUAAAAAUGCAAGAAUUUUUCAGUUUUCAGUUUCUUUUUUAUUUCAAACACAAAUGAAAAAUCAACACAGUGGUUUAAAAAAUACAUAAAACAAUACAGUGUGUUUGGAAAUGAGUGGGUUGAAGAGAAAUCUUGUCUGAUCCCACCCCUUUUUACAACACCUGAUGAUGCUCAUAUUUCUAUUUACAGAUAUGUACAAAACGUGCACGGUACAAUUUGAACACGGAACCCUAAAACGGACACAUUUGUGCGUUUUUCAUAGACUUUUCAUUGAAAGGGGUCACUUGAACGUGCAUAUCCGAGCCAGGUGUGAACGUAUGUCUGGAUGAGUUUUCAUACCCGAGUCUCUGUCUCAACCCUCCUUUGACAGUGAAGCGCGUUGGAAAAGACGGUUGCAUGUUGACCAGCUGCUUUGAAAAAACCUUUAGUGGUGUCUGCAGAUGAACCAGCCAUUAAACAAAUCCAAAACAAGGAGGUGACGCUCAUUCAAUGUGAGAAAAAACAGAUGCCUAACAGGUGAAGAGGGCUUAUGGUUUUGCCAAAGGAAUGUUUCAUUCAAUCAGUGGGUUCAGGCAGCUGAGCAUUUGGUUCAGACAAACCGUUUUAACAACUAAGAAAAACUAUACUAAUAAGGAAAGUAAAGGAGCUAUGGUGGAGUGUCUGUUAUUUACAGGUUGACUCUUCUGAAUCAAACAGGUUACAGAAUUCAGAUUAGGAAAGUGCUUUUCUUAUAUCUUUGGAGUUUUUUUUUACGUUUUAUUUUACUUACAAGGUGUAGGUUAGAGAAUCUCGCCCCGCCCCACAAGAACUUAAAUCCUGCUGCACUUCCUCAUGUUCUCCACAGCCUCUGACUGUUUCUCACCUCAUGAUGCCGCACGAGCCCAGAACACAAGCGGAAAGACAAAGUACAGCUGCUGUGAUCUGGACAGGGCCGCAAAUCAUCCCGCUCAGCUCGCACUGCAAAACAACUGGCUGGAGAAAACACGUGUGACUCCACGUUCACGAUGAGCAGCAAGGCUACACGCUGGAUUACACUGAAGAUCCAGUUAUGUCCACAUGGAGCCAUACGCAUGUGGGAGAAUCAAAUCAGCUGAUGGGAGUAAAGUGUUUUUCUUUAAACAGAUUAUUUAUUUGCUUUGUGUGGAUUCUAUUCAGGCUUUGGAACAUUUUUGUUUGUUUUGUUUUAGAUGUACUUCUGCAUCUUCUGUUGGACUAAAGGACUCCUGUCAAGGUUUUAGAAAGAAAAUAACGUCAUCUGCAAAGAAAGUGACCAAAACUGUUCACAGGAGUCAUCUAGAGAAAAAAAAAACCUGCAACAACAUCCUUCUUUGCCAUCGGAAGAACUUAACAUUAAUUUUUCGGGUGUUUUCUUCGAAGUGAAGGUGAGUCAGUUUUGCAUCUAUAAUCCUGGUUUCCAAAAUGUUCUCUGAUUAACGGGAUACAUCAAAUGCUGUUGAAAUACCUCCAAAACAUCCAGAGUAAAGGGAAGUUAAGAAAAUACAACAACAAAAAAAGAUGUAAUAAAUUCAUCUGUGAAGAAAAGGAUAAAAGCUAGAUCUGCAGAAUCUGAAAAAGAUAAACACACAAAAAACAACAACUGUAAUGAUGUUAAUGUUUGAUGUUUUUAGAAAAUGUAAAUCACUCAAAACACACAAAUGUAAUCAAUAUUAAAAUAUAUAUUUAACCCUGGAGAAGCACUUGGGGCAACUUUUGAGGUGGGGUUUUUUUUUUUUUUUUUUUUUUUUUUUAUAUUUU